Molecule: small nuclear RNA, 167 nt
Organism: Pygocentrus nattereri (red-bellied piranha)
Lineage: Eukaryota; Metazoa; Chordata; Actinopteri; Characiformes; Serrasalmidae
Gene: U1
Rfam family: U1 spliceosomal RNA
About the family: U1 is a small nuclear RNA (snRNA) component of the spliceosome (involved in pre-mRNA splicing). Its 5' end forms complementary base pairs with the 5' splice junction, thus defining the 5' donor site of an intron. There are significant differences in sequence and secondary structure between metazoan and yeast U1 snRNAs, the latter being much longer (568 nucleotides as compared to 164 nucleotides in human).
Source: Ensembl
AUACUUACCUGACAGGAGCGAUACCACGAUCACGAAGGUGGGUCACCCAGGGCGAGCCUCUGCCGUUGCACUUGGGUGGUGCUGACCCUUGAGAAUUCCCCAAAUGCGGGAAUCGCGACUGCAUAAUUUCUGGGAGUGGGGGACUGCGUUCGCGCUAAAAAUUUUCG